UGGGGGGAACAAAUGCGCGCUGGCGGCGUGCCUAUACAUGCAAGUCGAGCGAAUCGAUGGGAGCUUGCUCCCUGAGAUUAGCGGCGGACGGGUGAGUAACACGUGGGCAACCUGCCUAUAAGACUGGGAUAACUUCGGGAAACCGGAGCUAAUACCGGAUACGUUCUUUUCUCGCAUGAGAGAAGAUGGAAAGACGGUUUACGCUGUCACUUAUAGAUGGGCCCGCGGCGCAUUAGCUAGUUGGUGAGGUAAUGGCUCACCAAGGCGACGAUGCGUAGCCGACCUGAGAGGGUGAUCGGCCACACUGGGACUGAGACACGGCCCAGACUCCUACGGGAGGCAGCAGUAGGGAAUCUUCCGCAAUGGACGAAAGUCUGACGGAGCAACGCCGCGUGAACGAAGAAGGCCUUCGGGUCGUAAAGUUCUGUUGUUAGGGAAGAACAAGUACCAGAGUAACUGCUGGUACCUUGACGGUACCUAACCAGAAAGCCACGGCUAACUACGUGCCAGCAGCCGCGGUAAUACGUAGGUGGCAAGCGUUGUCCGGAAUUAUUGGGCGUAAAGCGCGCGCAGGUGGUUCCUUAAGUCUGAUGUGAAAGCCCACGGCUCAACCGUGGAGGGUCAUUGGAAACUGGGGAACUUGAGUGCAGAAGAGGAAAGUGGAAUUCCAA
This 671-nucleotide ribosomal RNA is filed under the name bacterium H1(2014). RNAcentral describes it as "bacterial SSU rRNA". It matches the Rfam family "Bacterial small subunit ribosomal RNA", at positions 1 to 672 of the family's 1533-position model. The record is from RNAcentral.